This 1287-nucleotide ribosomal RNA is filed under the name metagenome. RNAcentral's name for it is "bacterial SSU rRNA". It matches the Rfam family "Bacterial small subunit ribosomal RNA", at positions 242 to 1520 of the family's 1533-position model. The record is from RNAcentral.
UAGCUAGUUGGUGAGGUAAAGGCUUACCAAGGCGACGAUCUGUAGCGGGUCUGAGAGGAUGAUCCGCCACACUGGAACUGAGACACGGUCCAGACUCCUACGGGAGGCAGCAGUGGGGAAUUUUGGACAAUGGGGGCAACCCUGAUCCAGCCAUGCCGCGUGAGUGAAUAAGGCCUUCGGGUUGUAAAGCUCUUUCGGCCGGGAAGAAAUCGCAUGGGCCAAUACCCUGUGUGGAUGACGGUACCGGAAUAAGAAGCACCGGCUAACUACGUGCCAGCAGCCGCGGUAAUACGUAGGGUGCGAGCGUUAGUCGGAAUUACUGGGCGUAAAGCGUGCGCAGGCGGUUUUGUAAGACAGGCGUGAAAUCCCCGGGCUUAACCUGGGAACUGCGUUUGUGACUGCAAGGCUAGAGUACGGCAGAGGGGGGUGGAAUUCCACGUGUAGCAGUGAAAUGCGUAGAGAUGUGGAGGAACACCAAUGGCGAAGGCAGCCCCCUGGGUCGAUACUGACGCUCAUGCACGAAAGCGUGGGUAGCAAACAGGAUUAGAUACCCUGGUAGUCCACGCCCUAAACUAUGUCAACUAGGUGUUGGGUGGGUAAAACCAUUUAGUACCGUAGCUAACGCGUGAAGUUGACCGCCUGGGGAGUACGGCCGCAAGGUUAAAACUCAAAGGAAUUGACGGGGACCCGCACAAGCGGUGGAUGAUGUGGAUUAAUUCGAUGCAACGCGAAAAACCUUACCUACCCUUGACAUGCCAGGAACUUGCCAGAGAUGGCUUGGUGCCCGAAAGGGAGCCUGGACACAGGUGCUGCAUGGCUGUCGUCAGCUCGUGUCGUGAGAUGUUGGGUUAAGUCCCGCAACGAGCGCAACCCUUGUCGUUAAUUGCCAUCAUUUAGUUGGGCACUUUAACGAGACUGCCGGUGACAAACCGGAGGAAGGUGGGGAUGACGUCAAGUCCUCAUGGCCCUUAUGGGUAGGGCUUCACACGUCAUACAAUGGUCGGUACAAAGGGUUGCCAAGCCGCGAGGCGGAGCCAAUCCCAGAAAGCCGAUCGUAGUCCGGAUUGCAGGCUGCAACUCGCCUGCACGAAGUCGGAAUCGCUAGUAAUCGUGGAUCAGCAUGUCACGGCGAAUACGUUCCCGGGUCUUGUACACACCGCCCGUCACACCAUGGGAGCGGGUUCCGCCAGAAGUAGGUAGCCUAACCGCAAGGGGGGCGCUUACCACGGCGGGGUUCGUGACUGGGGUGAAGUCGUAACAAGGUAGCCGUAGGGGAACCUGCGGCUG